RNAcentral lists this ribosomal RNA (406 nucleotides) under uncultured bacterium. RNAcentral describes it as "partial 16S ribosomal RNA". It matches the Rfam family "Bacterial small subunit ribosomal RNA", at positions 29 to 526 of the family's 1533-position model. The record is from RNAcentral.
AUUGAACGCUGGCGGCAGGCCUAACACAUGCAAGUCGAACGCGUGGCGGACGGGUGAGUAAUGUCUGGGACACUGCCUGAUGGAGGGGGAUAACUACUGGAAACGGUCGAUAAUCCCGCAUACCAUCGGAUGUGCCCAGAUGGGAUUAGCUAGUAGGUGGGGUAACGGCUCACCUAGGCGACGAGCUCUAGCUGGUCUGAGAGGAGGACCAGCCACACUGGAACGGAGAAACGGGCCAGACUCCGACGGGAGGCAGCAGUGGGGAAUAUUGCACAAUGGGCGCAAGCCUGAUGCAGCCAUGCCGCGUGUAUGAAGAAGGCCUUCGGGUUGUAAAGUACUUUAAGCGGGGAGGCGUUACCGGCAGAAGAAGCACCGGCUAACUCCGUGCCAGCAGCCGCGGUAAUUC